This 24-nucleotide non-coding RNA is filed under the name Arabidopsis thaliana (thale cress). The record is from RNAcentral. Lineage: Eukaryota; Viridiplantae; Streptophyta; Magnoliopsida; Brassicales; Brassicaceae.
UGAGCUUUGGUCAAGCGAAGAGAC